AGUGAACGCUGGCGGUAGACCUAACACAUGCAAGUCGAACGGCAGCACAGUAAGAGCUUGCUCUUACGGGUGGCGAGUGGCGGACGGGUGAGGAAUACAUUGGAAUCUACUUUUUCGUGGGGGAUAACGUAGGGAAACUUACGCUAAUACCGCAUACGACCUACGGGUGAAAGCAGGGGAUCUUCGGACCUUGCGCGAUUGAAUGAGCCGAUGUCGGAUUAGCUAGUUGGCGGGGUAAAGGCCCACCAAGGCGACGAUCCGUAGCUGGUCUGAGAGGAUGAUCAGCCACACUGGAACUGAGACACGGUCCAGACUCCUACGGGAGGCAGCAGUGGGGAAUAUUGGACAAUGGGCGCAAGCCUGAUCCAGCCAUACCGCGUGGGUGAAGAAGGCCUUCGGGUUGUAAAGCCCUUUUGUUGGGAAAGAAAAGCAGCAGGUUAAUACCCCGCUGUUCUGACGGUACCCAAAGAAUAAGCACCGGCUAACUUCGUG
This 492-nucleotide ribosomal RNA is filed under the name uncultured bacterium. RNAcentral describes it as "partial 16S ribosomal RNA". It matches the Rfam family "Bacterial small subunit ribosomal RNA", at positions 29 to 507 of the family's 1533-position model. The record is from RNAcentral.